UUGGCGCCAUACCUUCGAGACACUGUUAACGAUGAACUGCGCGACUUCCUUCAUCGCAAGACAUUCAACUUCGUUCGAUAUCUUUGGAAUAAAUGAAUGCUUCGAUUUAAGAUAAUUCUCCCGUGUGAUACAGAAAUAGUUACAGAAUCUGGAACAAUCCUCGAACGCAUAGACACGGUUUGGUAAGAAUUUCGUUGAUAUGCAGCACGACAACGAUAAACGUUCGAUACGUGUGCUAAGCGUGUGCACACUUCUCUCAAGGAUGCAGGGCACAAAGGACAUGGGUUCAAUAAGAGAAUGACAAUGUACUUAUUAGGAUUAGUCAGGACUUGUAAUUCAAUUCAACAGAAACGACGAACAAUUUAUUUUAUUUUCAAUUGUCUUGAUUUUUUGGCCCGAUUCCCAGGU
Apis florea (little honeybee) is the source of this 408-nucleotide long non-coding RNA. The record is from RefSeq and is a predicted model, not a curated record. NCBI's taxonomy places the organism in Eukaryota, Metazoa, Arthropoda, Insecta, Hymenoptera, Apidae.